GUGGCUUUCAAUUGGGUGAAAUCUCAACUUGUUUUUCCCUUAAAAUCUCCUCUCUUUUUUUAGGAUUUUUUUAAUGCGGUUUUUGAUUCUUUCUAUGGCUGAUAGAUUUAUAUAAGUUUUCAUCAGAGCAAUGGAUUUGUUUGCACUCUUGCAUAACUAAUUCUUAGAAGUCAUGAUUGUUAAUGUUGAUAUGUUCAUUUUCGUAAUUGGAGUUGAGGAGACAUUAUGGUGCUAUUUGUGGUUCAUUUUCGCUGGAUUUGAUUCAGUGAAUAACUUGCUUUUAUAGUUUUUGUUACCAGUUGUAUUUAGCUAAACAAUUUACUUCUUUCCAAGUAAUGGGAUUAUUGUGAUUUGGGUUGUGUAGAAAGUGAGUUUUGCACGUAAAUAACAACUCAUUAAGGACAAGUGCCGCUGCAUGAGUUUUUUUGAACUUAGAAACGUAUGAUUCCGGCUACUCUAGCAAAAGAGUCUUACCUUUGCUGGGCAAUCAGUGAUCAUCCUGACAGAUUUGUCUUCUGUUUCUCUGUCUGUCAAUGAGAAUCAUAAAUAUUAAUGAUGUAGUAUCACCUUUUUGACUUAAAUGCUUAUUUCUUAAUCUGUCCUUGUUCCUGCAAAAAAUAUAUUAGGUAGCUGGUGUUCCAGGAG
This 645-nucleotide unclassified non-coding RNA is filed under the name Hevea brasiliensis (rubber tree). Lineage: Eukaryota; Viridiplantae; Streptophyta; Magnoliopsida; Malpighiales; Euphorbiaceae. The record is from RNAcentral.